Molecule: ribosomal RNA, 278 nt
Filed under: uncultured bacterium
Lineage: Bacteria
Description: partial 16S ribosomal RNA
Rfam family: Bacterial small subunit ribosomal RNA
Source: RNAcentral
GCAGCCGCGGUAAUACGUAGGGGGCAAGCGUUAUCCGGAUUUACUGGGUGUAAAGGGAGCGUAGACGGUAUGGCAAGUCUGAAGUGAAAGCCCUGGGCUCAACCGAGGGACUGCUUUGGAAACUGUCGUACUAGAGUGCAGGAGAGGUAAGUGGAAUUCCUAGUGUAGCGGUGAAAUGCGUAGAUAUUAGGAGGAACACCAGUGGCGAAGGCGGCUUACUGGACUGUAACUGACGUUGAGGCUCGAAAGCGUGGGGAGCAAACAGGAUUAGAUACCCC